This 492-nucleotide ribosomal RNA is filed under the name uncultured bacterium. RNAcentral describes it as "partial 16S ribosomal RNA". It matches the Rfam family "Bacterial small subunit ribosomal RNA", at positions 29 to 507 of the family's 1533-position model. The record is from RNAcentral.
AGUGAACGCUGGCGGUAGGCCUAACACAUGCAAGUCGAACGGCAGCAUAGUAAGAGCUUGCUCUUACGGGUGGCGAGUGGCGGACGGGUGAGGAAUACAUCGGAAUCUACUUUUUCGCGGGGGAUAACGUAGGGUAACUUACGCUAAUACCGCAUACGACCUACGGGUGAAAGCAGGGGCUCUUCGGACUUUGCGCGAUUGAAUGAGCCGAUGUCGGAUUAGCUAGUUGGCGGGGUAAAGGCCAACCAAGGCGACGAUCCGUAGCUGGUCUGAGAGGAUGAUCAGCCACACUGGAACUGAGACACGGUCCAGACUCCUACGGGAGGCAGCAGUGGGGAAUAUUGGACAAUGGGCGAAAGCCUGAUCCAGCCAUGCCGCGUGGGGGAAGAAGGCCUUCGGGUUGUAAAGCCCUUUUGUUGGGAAAGAAAAGCAGCAGGUUAAUACCCCGCUGUUCUGACGGUACCCAAAGAAUAAGCACCGGCUAACUUCGUG